Molecule: ribosomal RNA, 429 nt
Filed under: Actinomycetes bacterium
Lineage: Bacteria; Bacillati; Actinomycetota; Actinomycetes
Description: Actinobacteria bacterium partial 16S ribosomal RNA
Rfam family: Bacterial small subunit ribosomal RNA
Source: RNAcentral
UAGGGAAUCUUCCGCAAUGGGCGAAAGCUUGACGGAGCAACGCCGCGUGAGUGAUGAAGGUCUUCGGAUCGUAAAACUCUGUUAUUAGGGAAGAACAAAUGUGUAAGUAACUAUGCACGUCUUGACGGUACCUAAUCAGAAAGCCACGGCUAACUACGUGCCAGCAGCCGCGGUAAUACGUAGGUGGCAAGCGUUAUCCGGAAUUAUUGGGCGUAAAGCGCGCGUAGGCGGUUUUUUAAGUCUGAUGUGAAAGCCCACGGCUCAACCGUGGAGGGUCAUUGGAAACUGGAAAACUUGAGUGCAGAAGAGGAAAGUGGAAUUCCAUGUGUAGCGGUGAAAUGCGCAGAGAUAUGGAGGAACACCAGUGGCGAAGGCGACUUUCUGGUCUGUAAAUGACGCUGAUGUGCGAAAGCGUGGGGAUCAAACAGG